UGAACGCUAGCGGCAGGCCUAAUACAUGCAAGUCGAACGGUAACAUGAGAGCUUGCUCUUGAUGACGAGUGGCGCACGGGUGCGUAACGCGUAUGCAACCUACCCUUUACUGGGGGAUAGCCCGGAGAAAUUCGGAUUAAUACCCCAUAGUACUAUGUUAUAGCAUUAUAUAAUAGUUAAAGAUUUAUUGGUAAAGGAUGGGCAUGCGUGACAUUAGUUAGUUGGUAAGGUAACGGCUUACCAAGACGAUGAUGUCUAGGGGUUCUGAGAGGAAGAUCCCCCACACUGGUACUGAGACACGGACCAGACUCCUACGGGAGGCAGCAGUAGGGAAUAUUGGUCAAUGGACGAGAGUCUGAACCAGCCAUGCCGCGUGCAGGAAGACGGCCUUCUGGGUUGUAAACUGCUUUUAUAUAGGAACAAAGAGACCAUGCGUGGUAAGUUGAGUGUACUAUAUGAAUAAGCACCGGCUAACUCC
Molecule: ribosomal RNA, 478 nt
Filed under: uncultured bacterium
Lineage: Bacteria
Description: bacterial SSU rRNA
Rfam family: Bacterial small subunit ribosomal RNA
Source: RNAcentral